UGGAAGUAAAAGUCGUAACAAGGUCUCCGUAGGGUGAGUGACCUCCGACCCCCCGUACCGUCUUGAACCCAUGCUAACGAUUUUCACAGUGAACCUGCGGAGGGAUCAUUACCGAGUGAGGGCCUCCGGGUCCGACCUCCCACCCUUUGUUGUCUGACCGCGUUGCCUCGGGGCGGCCGCCGGUGCCUCGCGCCGGCCGGCCCCUCGGGGGACCCCUCCACGCUGCAUCAUUGCGUCCGAGUCAAUACACGAAUUGAAACAAAACUUUCAACAACGGAUCUCUUGGUUCUGGCAUCGAUGAAGAACGCAGCGAAAUGCGAUAAGUAAUGUGAAUUGCAGAAUUCAGUGAAUCAUCGAAUCUUUGAACGCACAUUGCGCCCCCUGGCAUUCCGGGGGGCAUGCCUGUUCGAGCGUCAUUGUCACCAAUCCAGCCCGGCUGGGUGUUGGGCGCCGCGGUCCGCCGCGCGCCCCAAUGUCGCCGGCCGCGCCGUCCGUCCCCUCGCGUUGUGGCUUACCAGUCUCGCGUCGGUGGCCGGACGGGGCGAGCCGUCAACCGUACNUCUCCAGGUUGACCUCGGAUCAGGUAGGGAUACCCGCUGAACUUAAGCAUAUCAAUAAGCGGAGGA
This 626-nucleotide ribosomal RNA is filed under the name Mycosphaerella sp. MUCC573. RNAcentral describes it as "eukaryotic LSU rRNA". The stretch from base 263 to 416 matches the Rfam family "5.8S ribosomal RNA". Lineage: Eukaryota; Fungi; Ascomycota; Dothideomycetes; Mycosphaerellales; Mycosphaerellaceae. The record is from RNAcentral.